AUCUUCUAAAGCAUCCUCAUGAGCAGAAACCUCAGAUCUGGCCUGGGCCAGCGUCCUGCUCACACUAAAGAGGGGAUCAGCAAGGGUUCUGAAGUAUCCUAAAAAGGGGCUUGAACUCCACUUCGUGUGGGUCAGUGGAGAGCUGCUCUAAGCUGCCAGUGUCCCUCAGAGAAUGAAGAUUUCAUUGGCAAACCCAAGACAAGGAAGAGGAGACUGACAACCGGGUGAAGGGAAAGUAACCACCAAGAAAAAAAUGCCUGGAAGAGGGUGACGAUCCCCUAGUGGGAGGUGGGCAGGGAAGUGGAGGCAGGUGGAAGGCUGGUCUAAGAGUGGAGGUAGCCCAAGAGUGAUACUGGCUGGGUCCGAGAAGUCGGUGGGCCCGAUCCGACGGAUACACAUACACG
This 404-nucleotide long non-coding RNA is filed under the name Mus caroli (Ryukyu mouse). RNAcentral's name for it is "lncRNA (MGP_CAROLIEiJ_G0003565.1)". Lineage: Eukaryota; Metazoa; Chordata; Mammalia; Rodentia; Muridae. The record is from RNAcentral.